UACCCGCUGAACUUAAGCAUAUCAAUAAGCGGAGGAAAAGAAACUAACUAGGAUGCCCUUAGUAACGGCGAGCGAACCGGGCAAAGCCCAACUUGAAAAUCUCCAGCCUCCGGCUGGCGAAUUGUAGUCUAGAGAAGUGCUCUCUGCGCCAGUCCGGCCCCAAGUCCCCUGGAAAGGGGCGUCAGAGAGGGUGAGAACCCCGUUGGGACCGGAUCCUGGUGCUCCACGAGACGCUUUCGCAGAGUCGGGUUGUUUGGGAAUGCAGCCCAAAGCAGGUGGUAAAUCCCAUCUAAGGCUAAAUACAGACGGGAGACCGAUAGCGAACAAGUACCGCGAGGGAAAGAUGAAAAGAACUUUGAAAAGAGAGUUAAAAAGUGCUUGAAAUUGUUGAGAGGGAAGUGAUUGGAUCCUACGGGUGCGCCCAGGCACACGCCUGCCUAACGGUUGGCUGAAUGCGCUGGGUGCUGGUCAGCAUGGGUUGGCCGGGCGGGACAAACCCGGGGAUUGCUACCCCGGCUAUGUCGCCUGGCCGACUGAGGAAAGAAGGGCGCUCU
This 554-nucleotide ribosomal RNA is filed under the name Micractinium conductrix. Its description in RNAcentral is "eukaryotic LSU rRNA". It matches the Rfam family "Eukaryotic large subunit ribosomal RNA", at positions 22 to 583 of the family's 3401-position model. The record is from RNAcentral. Lineage: Eukaryota; Viridiplantae; Chlorophyta; Trebouxiophyceae; Chlorellales; Chlorellaceae.